UACGUAGGGGGCAAGCGUUGUCCGGAUUAUUGGGCGUAAAGAGCGUGUAGGCGGCCAGGUAGGUCUGCUGUGAAAACUCGAGGCUCAACCUCGAGAUGUCGGCGGAAACCAUCUGGCUAGAGUCCGGAAGAGGAGAAUGGAAUUCCCGGUGUAGCGGUGAAAUGCGCAGAUAUCGGGAAGAACACCCGUGGCGAAGGCGGUUCUCUGGGACGGUACUGACGCUGAGACGCGAAAGCGUGGGGAGCGAACAGG
RNAcentral lists this ribosomal RNA (252 nucleotides) under uncultured bacterium. Its description in RNAcentral is "partial 16S ribosomal RNA". It matches the Rfam family "Bacterial small subunit ribosomal RNA", at positions 524 to 776 of the family's 1533-position model. The record is from RNAcentral.